UACGUAGGGGGCAAGCGUUGUCCGGAAUCAUUGGGCGUAAAGCGCGUGUAGGCGGCUCGAUAAGUCCGCUGUGAAAGCCCGGGGCUCAACCCCGGGAUGCCGGUGGAUACUGUCGAGCUAGAGUCCGGAAGAGGCGAGUGGAAUUCCUGGUGUAGCGGUGAAAUGCGCAGAUAUCAAGAGGAACACCUGCGGCGAAGGCGGGUUGCUGGGCCGACACUGACGCUGAAGUGCGAAAGCCAGGGGAGCGAACGGG
RNAcentral lists this ribosomal RNA (253 nucleotides) under uncultured prokaryote. RNAcentral describes it as "partial 16S ribosomal RNA". It matches the Rfam family "Bacterial small subunit ribosomal RNA", at positions 524 to 776 of the family's 1533-position model. The record is from RNAcentral.